This 607-nucleotide long non-coding RNA is filed under the name Monodelphis domestica (gray short-tailed opossum). RNAcentral's name for it is "lncRNA (ENSMODG00000036621.1)". Lineage: Eukaryota; Metazoa; Chordata; Mammalia; Didelphimorphia; Didelphidae. The record is from RNAcentral.
GCAGGGCAUGCUAUCCUGCUCUGAGGAACAAGAGAGAGGAAAGGAGCAGGAGUGAUAUCGGGGUACCUAAGGAGCAAACCAGCCCAGUUUGAGAAGACAGGUGAUCAAAGCUUCCAUGCCAAUCAACAGCAGCUGUGAGUCCUAUUGUACUUUCAGCACAGGACCUUAGGACCCUGCUGUUCUCAGCCCUCCGCUCUGGGUGUGGCCCCGGGAGGAGUCCUCUGCAGAAAGCUCAGCCUGGCAUAGCGGGGUACGUGUUGAAGCCCCUGACACUGCAUUGCCCUUGGGGAAUUCAGAAUUCGGCCAAACAGGAUGUUUUAGAGGGGAAAUGUCUCAGGAAGCAAAGGUUCCAGGACAGGGGACGGUACAUCUUCCCCCCUCCCCCAAUGAUGUAAGAGGCUGAUUAUGCAUCACGCUGAAGCCUUAGCGAAAGGGGAGGGAUGCCGGAGGGACGGGAUGCCAAAUGCUACUAGAACUAACGGGCAACACCUGUUGCAAUGAAAACAGCUUCCUCUCCUUGACUCUAUGAGAAGUGUUUAUCUUUUGAAUUAGGAAAUGAUCCUCCCAUGUCUGAACAAGAUUCUAGGGAUACAAACAUGUGUCUGGA